AGGAAAUUUUUCAUGAGGGAAUAAGAUAACUUUCCUGGUUUACAGAGAGAUGUAUAAGGAGACUAUAAGAUAAGAUCCCCCAAAACUGCAGAAAGAGUAGUAAAGUUUACUUUGGUAUAAAAGUACUUUAAUUAAAUUUUUAUUGGAAUAUCUAGAGAAAAACGAUGGGAUUGAAAAGCUUUGAUGAUUCCAGGCCUACGACUUGGCUAGAUGACCUUCUCAAUGAAGAAAAAAAUGCAAUAAAAGAGUUAAAAAAACGCACCUUGCCUGAGCUAUCUAAUAAGAUGUUGGAUGAUCCUAGUUUAUUUUAUCGCUUUUUAAAAGGUAAACCUUUAAUGCUUUUUGCAAGACAUCUUUGAAAACAAUAAAAUCAUUCAAUCUUAAACUUAAUUAUAAACAAGCAACAAAAAACUAUUUUUUUUU
This is a non-coding RNA of Parasteatoda tepidariorum (common house spider), 423 nucleotides long. Lineage: Eukaryota; Metazoa; Arthropoda; Arachnida; Araneae; Theridiidae. The record is from RefSeq and is a predicted model, not a curated record.